CUGCAAUGAUGUGUGAAUUUCUUCACCUGAACUACUCCAUGAAGAUCAAAACCAUACGAGCUUUUUAACCCUGAGCAGC
Small nucleolar RNA from Anolis sagrei ordinatus, 79 nucleotides. Lineage: Eukaryota; Metazoa; Chordata; Lepidosauria; Squamata; Anolidae. The record is from RefSeq and is a predicted model, not a curated record.